GGGCUUGUAGCUCAACUAGGUUAGAGCUCCCGGCUCAUAACCGGGCGGUUUCCGGUUCGAUUCCGGACGAGCCCA
Molecule: transfer RNA, 75 nt
Filed under: Deltaproteobacteria bacterium
Lineage: Bacteria; Pseudomonadati; Myxococcota; Myxococcia
Also listed under: 1 other name
Description: tRNA-Ile
Rfam family: tRNA
About the family: Transfer RNA (tRNA) molecules are approximately 80 nucleotides in length.
Source: RNAcentral